Long non-coding RNA from Trifolium pratense (red clover), 362 nucleotides. RefSeq lists it as uncharacterized. The record is from RefSeq and is a predicted model, not a curated record. NCBI's taxonomy places the organism in Eukaryota, Viridiplantae, Streptophyta, Magnoliopsida, Fabales, Fabaceae. The transcript has 2 exons.
UGUUGGUGAUUUCGGUUUGGCCAAGCUAAUUGAUAUCUCAAAGUCUAAAUCAAUGUCUGCAGUUGUUGGUUCUUACGGCUACAUUGCACCUGGUGUUCAAUGAUCCCACGACAUUAACAGAGGAGGAGUUGUAUGAUUUGCGAGACCGCUGGGCAACUUGUUUUCUUCAACUAUAUAAUCCCGAGGUAGAUUAUGAUGAUGCCGACGAGAAAGAUUAGGAGCUAGCUAGGUUUGUGUGAAGUUACAAUGUACUAGUUAUGAUGAUGUUUUAAUUUGUAUUUUGGAUGGAUUAGUAUUAAUUAUUAUGAUGUUUUGUAUUUUGGAUUACAAUGUGGUUGUACUUUAAUGACAUUAUUACUAUA